UCCGACUUAACGUCGACAAUCUCGCCAGAGUGCUCAGCUUUCCUGUUAGCAACUGACGACAGGGGUUGCGCUCGUUGCGGAACUUAACCCAACAUCUCACGACACGAGCUGACGACGGCCAUGCAGCACCUGUCACUUGGCUCAAUAAAGCACUCUCUCCUUUCGGAGAAAUUCCAAGGAUGUCAAACCUGGGUAAGGUUCUUCGCUUACCAUCGAAUUAAACAACACGCUCCACCGCUUGUGCGGGUCCCCGUCAAUUCCUUUAUGUUUUAGUCUUGCGACCGUACUCCACAGGCGGGAUGCUUAACGCGUUAGCUUCGCUACAUCCGGGGUCGAUACCGGAUACAGCUAGCAUCCAUCGUUUACGGCGUGGACUAC
RNAcentral lists this unclassified non-coding RNA (378 nucleotides) under uncultured bacterium. Its description in RNAcentral is "contains 16S-23S intergenic spacer region". The record is from RNAcentral.